CUCCUGCGGGGAGUUCCUUUCUCUCCCUGCAUGAGUCUAUUCUCCGCACAACUGGCAGAGGUAAGUGAGACUGCGGAAGAGGCAAGUUUGCAAGUCCAGAGGAAAUGAAGACUCUGCUUGUGCACAUGCUGGGUUUGACGGGUGCUGGAUAUCCGAUGGAUGGCCCUUAAGCAAGAAGAGUUGGCCCUUUGUAUCUGUGGUUUCUGCAUCCCUGGAUUCAA
Molecule: long non-coding RNA, 221 nt
Filed under: Homo sapiens (human)
Lineage: Eukaryota; Metazoa; Chordata; Mammalia; Primates; Hominidae
Description: HSALNT0360092
Source: RNAcentral